This 649-nucleotide long non-coding RNA is filed under the name Homo sapiens (human). Its description in RNAcentral is "long non-coding RNA NONHSAT060901.2". The record is from RNAcentral. Lineage: Eukaryota; Metazoa; Chordata; Mammalia; Primates; Hominidae.
UGGGGACCCGGGACGACGAGUACGACUACCUAUUCAAAGGGUGCUCAUCGGGGACUCAGGCGUGGGCAAGAGCAACCUGCUGUCGCGCUUCACCCGCAACGAGUUCAACCUGGAGAGCAAGAGCACCAUCGGCGUGGAGUUCGCCACCCGCAGCAUCCAGGUGGACGGCAAGACCAUCAAGGCGCAGAUCUGGGACACCGCUGGCCAGGAGCGCUACCGCGCCAUCACCUCCGCUACUACCGUGGUGCAGUGGGCGCCCUGCUGGUGUACGACAUCGCCAAGCACCUGACCUAUGAGAACGUGGAGCGCUGGCUGAAGGAGCUGCGGGACCACGCAGACAGCAACAUCGUCAUCAUGCUGGUGGGCAACAAGAGUGACCUGCGCCACCUGCGGGCUGUGCCCACUGACGAGGCCCGCGCCUUCGCAGAAAGAACAACUUGUCCUUCAUCGAGACCUCAGCCUUGGAUUCCACUAACGUAGAGGAAGCAUUCAAGAACAUCCUCACAGGAUCUACCGCAUCGUGUCACAGAAACAGAUCGCAGACCGCGCUGCCCACGACGAGUCCCCGGGGAACAACGUGGUGGACAUCAGCGUGCCGCCCACCACGGACGGACAGAAGCCCAACAAGCUGCAGUGCUGCCAGAACCUG